RNAcentral lists this ribosomal RNA (251 nucleotides) under uncultured bacterium. RNAcentral's name for it is "partial 16S ribosomal RNA". It matches the Rfam family "Bacterial small subunit ribosomal RNA", at positions 57 to 305 of the family's 1533-position model. The record is from RNAcentral.
GCAAGUCGAGGGGUAACAGGGAAGCUUGCUUCCGCUGACGACCGGCGCACGGGUGCGUAACGCGUAUGCAACCUACCUUAUACUGGGGGAUAGCCCGAAGAACUUCGGAUUAAUACCCCAUGGUUCUAUAAUGCUGCAUAGUAUAAUAGAUAAAGCUUUGGCGGUAUAAGAUGGGCAUGCGGGACAUUAGCUAGUUGGUAAGGUAACGGCUUACCAAGGCGACGAUGUCUAGGGGUUCUGAGAGGAUGACC